UACAGAGGGUGCAAGCGUUGUUCGGAAUUACUGGGCGUAAAGGGCUCGUAGGCGGCCAACUAAGUCGGAUGUGAAAUCCCCAGGCUUAGCCUGGGAACUGCAUCCGAUACUGGAUGGCUUGAAUUCGGGAGAGGGAUGCAGAAUUCCAGGUCUAGCGGUGAAAUGCGUAGAUAUCUGGAGGAAUACCGGUGGCGAAGGCGGCAUCCUGGACCGACAUUGACGCUGAGGCGCGAAAGCUAGGGGAGCAAACGGG
RNAcentral lists this ribosomal RNA (253 nucleotides) under uncultured bacterium. RNAcentral describes it as "partial 16S ribosomal RNA". It matches the Rfam family "Bacterial small subunit ribosomal RNA", at positions 524 to 776 of the family's 1533-position model. The record is from RNAcentral.